GACGAACGCUGGCGGCGUGCUUAACACAUGCAAGUCGAACGGAAAGGCCCUGCUUGCAGGGUACUCGAGUGGCGAACGGGUGAGUAACACGUGGGUGAUCUGCCCUGCACUUCGGGAUAAGCCUGGGAAACUGGGUCUAAUACCGGAUAGGAGCCAUUUUUAGUGUGAUGGUUGGAAAGUUUUUUCGGUGUAGGAUGAGCUCGCGGCCUAUCAGCUUGUUGGUGGGGUAAUGGCCUACCAAGGCGGCGACGGGUAGCCGGCCGGAGAGGGUGGACGGCCACAUUGGGACUGAGAUACGGGCCAGACUCCUACGGGGGGCAGCAGUGGGGAAUAUUGCACAAUGGGCGCAAGGCUGAUGCAGCGACGCCGCGUGGGGGAUGACGGCCUUCGGGUUGUAAACGCCUUUCGCUAGGGACGAAGCUUUUUGUGACGGUACCUAGAUAAGAAGCACCGGCUAACUACGUG
This 465-nucleotide ribosomal RNA is filed under the name uncultured bacterium. RNAcentral describes it as "partial 16S ribosomal RNA". It matches the Rfam family "Bacterial small subunit ribosomal RNA", at positions 28 to 507 of the family's 1533-position model. The record is from RNAcentral.